GCCUGGGUGGCUCAGCAGUUGAGCAUCUGUCUUUGGCUCAGAGUGUGAUCCCAGGGUUUUGGGAUCGAGUCCCACAUUGGGCU
Non-coding RNA from Canis lupus familiaris (dog), 83 nucleotides. The record is from Rfam. Lineage: Eukaryota; Metazoa; Chordata; Mammalia; Carnivora; Canidae.